AUGAACGCUGGCGGCGUGCCUAAUACCUGCAAGUCGAGCGAACGGACGAGAAGCUUGCUUUUCUGAUGUUAGCGGCGGACGGGUGAGUAACACGUGGAUAACCUACCUAUAAGACUGGGAUAACUUCGGGAAACCGGAGCUAAUACCGGAUAAUAUUUUGAACCGCAUGGUUCAAAAGUGAAAGACGGUCUUGCUGUCACUUAUAGAUGGAUCCGCGCUGCAUUAGCUAGUUGGUAAGGUAACGGCUUACCAAGGCAACGAUGCAUAGCCGACCUGAGAGGGUGAUCGGCCAAACUGGAACUGAGACACGGUCCAGACUCCUACGGGAGGCAGCAGUAGGGAAUCUUCCGCAAUGGGCGAAAGCCUGACGGAGCAACGCCGCGUGAGUGAUGAAGGUCUUCGGAUCGUAAAGCUCUGUUAUUAGGGAAGAACAUAUGUGUAAGUAACUGUGCACAUCUUGACGGUACCUAAUCAGAAAGCCACGGCUAACUACGUG
This 496-nucleotide ribosomal RNA is filed under the name uncultured bacterium. Its description in RNAcentral is "partial 16S ribosomal RNA". It matches the Rfam family "Bacterial small subunit ribosomal RNA", at positions 29 to 507 of the family's 1533-position model. The record is from RNAcentral.